UACGAAGGGGGCUAGCGUUGCUCGGAAUCACUGGGCGUAAAGCGCACGUAGGCGGAUCCUUAAGUCGGGGGUGAAAUCCUGGAGCUCAACUCCAGAACUGCCUUCGAUACUGAGGAUCUCGAGUCCGGGAGAGGUGAGUGGAACUGCGAGUGUAGAGGUGAAAUUCGUAGAUAUUCGCAAGAACACCAGUGGCGAAGGCGGCUCACUGGCCCGGUACUGACGCUGAGGUGCGAAAGCGUGGGGAGCGAACCGG
Molecule: ribosomal RNA, 253 nt
Filed under: uncultured bacterium
Lineage: Bacteria
Description: partial 16S ribosomal RNA
Rfam family: Bacterial small subunit ribosomal RNA
Source: RNAcentral